This 388-nucleotide ribosomal RNA is filed under the name Staphylococcus aureus. Its description in RNAcentral is "bacterial SSU rRNA". It matches the Rfam family "Bacterial small subunit ribosomal RNA", at positions 1 to 377 of the family's 1533-position model. Lineage: Bacteria; Bacillati; Bacillota; Bacilli; Caryophanales; Staphylococcaceae. The record is from RNAcentral.
UUUUAUGGAGAGUUUGAUCCUGGCUCAGGAUGAACGCUGGCGGCGUGCCUAAUACAUGCAAGUCGAGCGAACGGACGAGAAGCUUGCUUCUCUGAUGUUAGCGGCGGACGGGUGAGUAACACGUGGAUAACCUACCUAUAAGACUGGGAUAACUUCGGGAAACCGGAGCUAAUACCGGAUAAUAUUUUGAACCGCAUGGUUCAAAAGUGAAAGACGGUCUUGCUGUCACUUAUAGAUGGAUCCGCGCUGCAUUAGCUAGUUGGUAAGGUAACGGCUUACCAAGGCAACGAUGCAUAGCCGACCUGAGAGGGUGAUCGGCCACACUGGAACUGAGACACGGUCCAGACUCCUACGGGAGGCAGCAGUAGGGAAUCUUCCGCAAUGGGCG